This 654-nucleotide ribosomal RNA is filed under the name uncultured archaeon. Its description in RNAcentral is "bacterial SSU rRNA". It matches the Rfam family "Archaeal small subunit ribosomal RNA", at positions 508 to 1160 of the family's 1478-position model. The record is from RNAcentral.
GCCUAAAGCGUCCGUAGCCUGUUCUAUAAGUUUCCGGUUAAAUCCAUUAGCUCAACUAAUGGGCCGCCGAAAAUACUGUGGAACUAGGGAGUGGGAGAGGUAGACGGUAUUCGGUAGGAAGGGGUAAAAUCCUUUGAUCUAUCGAGGACCACCUGUGGCGAAGGCGGUCUACCAGAACACGUUCGACGGUGAGGGAUGAAAGCUGGGGGAGCAAACCGGAUUAGAUACCCGGGUAGUCCCAGCUGUAAACGAUGCAGACUCGGUGAUGCGCUGGCUUGUGGCCAGUGCAGUGCCGCAGGGAAGCCGUUAAGUUUGCCGCCUGGGAAGUACGUACGCAAGUAUGAAACUUAAAGGAAUUGGCGGGGGAGCACCACAAGGGGUGAAGCCUGCGGUUCAAUUGGAGUCAACGCCAGAAAUCUUACCCGAAGAGACAGCAGAAUGAAGGUCAAGCUGGAGACUUUACCAGACAAGCUGAGAAGUGGUGCAUGGCCGUCGCCAGCUCGUGCCGUGAGGUGUCCUGUUAAGUCAGGUAACGAGCGAGAUCCUUGCCUCUAGUUGCCACCAUUACUCUCAGGAGUAGUGGGGCGAAUUAGCGGGACUGCCGUAGUUAAUACGGAGGAAGGAGAGGGCCACGGCAGGUCAGUAUGCCCCGAA